UACGUAGGGUGCGAGCGUUAAUCGGAAUUACUGGGCGUAAAGCGUGCGCAGGCGGUUCUAUAAGACAGAUGUGAAAUCCCCGGGCUCAACCUGGGAAUGGCAUUUGUGACUGUAGAGCUAGAGUGUAGCAGAGGGGGGUGGAAUUCCACGUGUAGCAGUGAAAUGCGUAGAUAUGUGGAGGAACACCGAUGGCGAAGGCAGCCCCCUGGGUUAACACUGACGCUCAUGCACGAAAGCGUGGGGAGCAAACAGGAUUAGAUACCCCCGUAGUCC
RNAcentral lists this ribosomal RNA (273 nucleotides) under uncultured bacterium. RNAcentral's name for it is "partial 16S ribosomal RNA". It matches the Rfam family "Bacterial small subunit ribosomal RNA", at positions 524 to 796 of the family's 1533-position model. The record is from RNAcentral.